This 21-nucleotide microRNA is filed under the name Monopterus albus (swamp eel). RNAcentral describes it as "Mal-Mir-34-P3c_5p (mature (guide))". Lineage: Eukaryota; Metazoa; Chordata; Actinopteri; Synbranchiformes; Synbranchidae. The record is from RNAcentral.
AGGCAGUGUAAUGUUAGCUGA